CCCCCCCCCGGGAAAGGAGGCCGGGUUUCACCGGGAGCACCGGAGCCGUCUCCCCGGCGCGGCCCCUUUCCGAGCGGAGCGCGGCAGGCGCCGGCUCCGGAACCGUCAAGCUUUCGCUUCGCCACCUGGAAGUCGAAAGGGGGCGGGAAGGAGAUUUGGCAGCAACCGAGCGACGACGACGACGACAAAGCGGCAUCGAGGAAUCGCCCGGAAAAAUCAAAAAAAUGGGAAAAAGCGGAAAAAAAAAGAAGGGAAGGGAGCGGUGGGAAGGCCCCAAAUCCGCCGGGAAGGAGGGGCCGGCGAGCGCCCGGCUCGGGGGGCUCGCGGCGAAGCCCGUCCUCGUCCUCCUUGCCACCGUCCUCCUCCUCCUCCUCCUCCUCCUCGGCCCCGCUGCAGCAGGGCUGUUCCGGCAGCGGAUCCGCCCGGGGCGCUGGCGCCCAAGGCCGGAAUCCGCCGUUUUCGGAGCCACCGUGCCCCCGUUUCCCCCCUCCCCAAGCUCCGAGCCAGCGGGAGGUUUCCCGAUCCGGGUCGGGUCCCUCGGAGCAGCGGCGGAGCUGUCACCUACCGCAGGUCACUUUGGCGGAGCCGGGGGCUUCGGGCUGGGGGGCGGGAGCCGCCGCGGCCCCCCGGCGCCGGCCGAGCGUCCCGGCCCUCGUCCGGCCUCUGCUCACCCGCUUCCGCUUGCCCGAGGUGGAACCUGGCGGAGAGACGAGCGGCCGUGAGCGAUGCCGCUCGACUUCCCCGCUCCCGAAAACGGUCAAUAACGCGCUGCUUCCCAAAAAACGGCGGGAAGAAUUUUCCCGAUGGCUCCUACCCGUCUCCCAGUGCUCGUGGCGGGGUUCGGCGGCGGCGGAAUUGAGGCAAGUGUCCACGCGGCGGUCGGAGGCGGCCACCGAGGGGCCGUACGUGUACCUUUCCGGGGACACUGCGGGGAAAAAGGGAGUGAGGACGUGAGCGGGACGGGAUGAGCCGGCGCGGCCGCUGCCUCCCCCCUUUUCCCCCGAAUCCGGCCGCGCCGGGCGGUACCUGUGCGCUGCCGCUUGAGCGUGGCGUAGGGCAGCAGGUCGUGGCGCGUGAGCACGCGGAGCAGCUGCAGCAGGUGCCGGAAGUUGGUCUCGUCGCACAGGCCGCGGCGUUCCAGCUCCAGCAGCAGCUCCACGCCGU
RNAcentral lists this long non-coding RNA (1164 nucleotides) under Apteryx haastii (Great spotted kiwi). RNAcentral describes it as "lncRNA (ENSAHAG00000017093.1)". The record is from RNAcentral. Lineage: Eukaryota; Metazoa; Chordata; Aves; Apterygiformes; Apterygidae.